UGCGAAAUCAUUGCAUUUUUAUUUUUUUUAUUUUUAGGUAGAUUUUUUUUUUAAAGACGUCUGAAACAUUUGUGGUGGCAUCAUUGCUGCUAUAGCCUCUAAAAGACCUUGAAUAACCAAAGUGCUAGAAUAGUUACAGUUCAAUGGCUUCACUCUGUUAGUAAGAAUCAAACAUCAAAAAAUCUGCUCAGGUGAAAACACAUAUCAAACAAAAUUGACAAAAAAUUGAUAGUUCAACCAUAUCAAAGGAUCCUCUACCCCCUGAUUGACAUAGUAAGUAUAAGGGGAUGUGGUACAGCACCCUACCUGGCUUCCUUUAAACCCCCCUUCCCCCCAAUAAAGAAAAUAAAAGUUACAUAGUUUUCAUGUCCACAGCAUAGACAUCAGCAUACUGAGCCAUCGCACCAGUAGAACACCACACUUGAACUACAUGGGCAUCUAAUGAAAACCAAUACAAAGAUAAUUCCUAAUGUAAUGUAAAAGUAAAAUUUCGUCAGUGAGCUAGUGAAAACAAAUCUAUUCGACACUGCAUAUACAGACUCUCAAGCCUAAAGAGAUCACACAGUUUCAGAGUAAAACACAAUUUAUUUAAUGCUUAAAUAAUUGUUUUUGACCAUCCAGUGUUUUGUCAUACAAUAUGCUAUUUAGAGCUACAAUCAAAUAAUGUCUUUAUGUGUCCUUAAUGUGAGUAAGUUUUUAAAUUAAGGAAAUACUUCACCAAAAUAUCCAAAGUGAAAUGCCCCAGUUUUCCUUUAAUACCACAGCAGCCGUUAGAAAACCAAAUUGGAACACUGCUAAAAUGAUUACAAACAGUCUAACAGUGUACAGAGACUCCUACACCUUAUAGCCAAUACGUACAAUACAAUUAUAAUUUUACAGCGAGCCAGCCUACUAGCAUUUACAUUCAGAUUAACUCGUUCCUGUAGCAGAAGCUGCCCUCCAGUUUAACACAGACAGACAAGACAUCACAUCCUCAAGAAGCUAUAGAACUUUUUUCAUCCUCACCCCCAACAUGAUAAAUGCUUUUAUGGUAUCCUUUUUCAAUUUAAAAUAUAAAAUCGGUGACAAAUGUUAGGGCUAUAUGUGUACAGAGAUAAAGGGUUUUUUUAUUUGUCACUUGAAUACAGUGUUUGCAAACUUGUAAAAAUUGUACUUAAAAUAAUGUGAAGAGCAUGCAUGAAAAUAUGAGUACUCUGAAAGGCUGCUUUUUUUUGCAGGAUUAGAUCCAUUCCCACUUUGGGAAUUACUGAAAUUUGAUUUUUCUGGAAAUUUCCUCUGUUAAAAUCAAACCAGCAUUUUCAUGUACAAACAUUAUACCUGCUCUAAUAAUUAAUUAUACAAGAACCUGUGAAGAUACACUCAAAUCUUUAAACUCAGUAAAUUUUCGAAAGCACUUGAAAAGGUCACUCUCCUCAGUGCGCUAUCAACCAGUAACUUACCCCUCCCCCCCUUUUUUAAAGAAUUAUACACAUUGUAAUUUUAUAUACAGAAAAAAGCUUUUGUGUUAGUUUAAGUUUUAAAAAGGAAGGAAAAAAAAUCCCAAACAAUUUACAUCCUGACAACAAUGGGUUCAAGAAAAAACUAUAAGGCGAGUGUUGAAGUUGGAUCAGAAGUGUUCCAUUAGAUUUUUUUUGUGUGUUAUUGUGUUGACUUCAUUCUUUCCACCCACCGUGGUGAUUGAGCUCUUGUGCCAUCUUUGGUCACAGUUGCAUCUGUGUGGUUUGUCAGUAACGGAGUCUUUGUUUGUUUUUCACAACAAAACGAUGCUCCUUCAGAAAGCUCUCACGACACCAGUGGACCGAUGGCACGUAUCGUUUCACACAAAACAGGAAGCAGAAUCAUUGUCCACUGGUCGACCACAGUCAGAAAGUGAGAACCUCCCGGUCUUUCUUUGAUUGACAGGGAGUGAGUUUUUCAUGCUCAUGCGUAAGUCAGAAGGGUUGACUCCUCUCAAAACCAUUUAUUUGAAGCAGAUAGUUGCAGACUGGACCUUUGCCUUAAGUCUUCACACUGGAACUCUCCAGCCUUCUGAACACUUGUUCCCAGGAAACAGCAAACCCGGCUCCUCUACAUCUGCAAGACACAGAACAGCACAUCACACAUUGCAGCACAUUUAC
Amphiprion ocellaris (clown anemonefish) is the source of this 2117-nucleotide long non-coding RNA. Lineage: Eukaryota; Metazoa; Chordata; Actinopteri; Pomacentridae. The record is from Ensembl.